This 253-nucleotide ribosomal RNA is filed under the name uncultured bacterium. RNAcentral's name for it is "partial 16S ribosomal RNA". It matches the Rfam family "Bacterial small subunit ribosomal RNA", at positions 524 to 776 of the family's 1533-position model. The record is from RNAcentral.
CACGGGGGUUGCGAGCGUUGUUCGGAAUCACUGGGCGUAAAGAGAGCGUAGGCGGGAUUGUAAGUUAGAAGUUUAAUACAAGGGCUUAACCCUUGACCGGCUUUUAAUACUGCAGUUCUUGAAUGUGGGAGAGGGCAAUGGAAUUCCAGGUGUAGCGGUGGAAUGCGUAGAUAUCUGGAAGAACACCAGUAGCGAAGGCGGUUGCCUGGCCUAACAUUGACGCUGAGGCUCGAAAGCUAGGGGAGCAAACAGG